GGGUUCACGCCCUCGGCCCACGCCCUCGACAGAUGAGACACCUGGGUCUCAUUAAGACGAUCAGCAUUUAAAUCAGGAGGCGACUGCUGUUCAUCGCUGGAUCGUUGUCUACCACGCAGCUUCCUGGAUUUUUCCCCGUGUGAUUCCCGUGUGGCAGUGUCGGAGUGUGAGCCUGUGAUCGUGUGUGUGGAUGAUCUGAAGAAUGCGUGCUUUCCCCCUGGACUUCCCUGGAGACCCCUUCUUCCCUCACUCAGCUGUAUAUAGCACCCCCCGCACCUUCUUGUAUAUACACCUGGUGAAUUGUAAAUAAAUCCUUCUUGUGAGCAUCA
Long non-coding RNA from Haplochromis burtoni (Burton's mouthbrooder), 329 nucleotides. RefSeq lists it as uncharacterized. The record is from RefSeq and is a predicted model, not a curated record. NCBI's taxonomy places the organism in Eukaryota, Metazoa, Chordata, Actinopteri, Cichliformes, Cichlidae. The transcript has 2 exons.